RNAcentral lists this non-coding RNA (45 nucleotides) under Schistosoma haematobium. Lineage: Eukaryota; Metazoa; Platyhelminthes; Trematoda; Strigeidida; Schistosomatidae. The record is from RNAcentral.
ACUCAGCUGAUGAGUCCCAAACAGGACGAAACGCGCGUCCUGGAU